Molecule: ribosomal RNA, 400 nt
Filed under: uncultured bacterium
Lineage: Bacteria
Description: bacterial SSU rRNA
Rfam family: Bacterial small subunit ribosomal RNA
Source: RNAcentral
UGGGGAAUCUUGCACAAUGGGGGAAACCCUGAUGCAGCGAUGCCGCGUGAGUGAAGAAGGCCCUUGGGUUGUAAAACUCUUUCGUCGGGGAAGAGAAUGACUGUACCCGAAUAAGAAGGUCCGGCUAACUUCGUGCCAGCAGCCGCGGUAAUACGAAGGGACCUAGCGUAGUUCGGAAUUACUGGGCUUAAAGAGCUCGUAGGUGGUUAAAAAGUUGAUGGUGAAAUCCCAAGGCUUAACCUUGGAACUGCCAUCAAAACUUUUUAGCUAGAGUGUGAUAGAGGUAAGUGGAAUUUCUAGUGUAGAGGUGAAAUUCGUAGAUAUUAGAAAGAACACCAAAUGCGAAGGCAACUUACUGGGUCACCACUGACACUGAGGAGCGAAGCAUGGGUAGCGAAGA